UAAUGCAGACUCUGGCUUCAGAACUGGACUGCUUGAGUUGGAAUCACGCAUCCAUUCUGUCUGCACUGUGUAAUUUGGGGUGCCCAGGGAGACAAACCGGUAAAUGUGAGAAGAAGAAAUACUUCUGAUGUUUUCCCAGCUCCAUGGAACCCAUGUUGAAGGCCAUGUAGCCCGAGCAUGCUCAGAUGUGCCAAGCAGGCAACCAAGUGGGGAACCUAAGCGCUCUGAUGGAGGAGUGGGGGCUGAAUUAAGAAGAGGACACAGCAUGGCAGGGUCCAGGAUCCAAUCAGAUAGAGCCCUGAUUGUCACUCCAUGGCAGGAUCCAGUCAGACCAUGCUUCCUGGCAUCACCUCAUCACAACAUCCAAUCAGACCACACAUCAUUACCUCAUGCUUAUAAAACUUGACCCAAUCUCCAGCUCCAGAAGACAGAUUUGAGUGUUUCCUUCUGUCUCCUUCCCAGUCAACUUGCAAUAAAGCUUCUCUUUUGCCCAAA
This is a long non-coding RNA of Macaca mulatta (Rhesus monkey), 495 nucleotides long. RefSeq lists it as uncharacterized. Lineage: Eukaryota; Metazoa; Chordata; Mammalia; Primates; Cercopithecidae. The record is from RefSeq and is a predicted model, not a curated record.